Branchiostoma belcheri (Belcher's lancelet) is the source of this 1166-nucleotide long non-coding RNA. RefSeq lists it as uncharacterized. The transcript is spliced from 3 exons. NCBI's taxonomy places the organism in Eukaryota, Metazoa, Chordata, Leptocardii, Amphioxiformes, Branchiostomatidae. The record is from RefSeq and is a predicted model, not a curated record.
GGAAAACUACAUGACAACGUCACCAAGACGAAGAUCAACAUUGUCAUCAUCAUCACGAUUCUGGUGGGACUUCAGUGGAUCUUUGGCUUUUUCCUCAUCAGAGACGCCGAGCUGGCCGUUGCCUGUGUUUUCUUCGUCCUGAACUCUCUGCAGGGACUGUUCAUUUUCCUGUUCCGGUGUGUGCUGCAGGAGGAUGUCAGGUCUUCCUGGCGCACGUGUUGUGAUCGCGAUCACACCACGACCCCUGACGGCACCGUUACGGCAGCUUUGUUGGAGAAACCGACCAGCCCGCCUGGGUCAAACGACGCUGAGAAGGGUGAGAAGCCGCCUAUAGAAGACGAGGAGGCGGUCCCUCUGGUAUCUCCGUAAGCUUUACACUGCUGUGUGAAUUGUUAAAAAUUUCCCAGCAUCUGUCAAUGGAUAAGUCGACGAAAUAAUUAAAUUGUGACUUUAUAAAUCAUGAAGUGAUUACAUUAGCGUGAUGCCUUUAUAGUUUUCUUGCAAAAUUAAUCAGAAUCAAAAAAAAGGAAAUAUUUAAACAGUGACUUGUACAAUGUAUUCAUCAUAACAUGUAGGCCAUACAUGUAUAUAUAUAUAUAUAUGGUGACGACUUGAAACAAUGCUUAGAAUUUUGUAACAAGUUUCGAAAUCAAUGCGAUAGAUAUUGACCAGAUAUUUAACGUUAUUGAUAAGAAUGGAAAAAACAAACAAAAAGAACAAUUGUAUACAUCAGGUAGGAACCGUAGAUCUAGUUAAGGGUGCUGGCUAAAUGAUGCGUGGUUAAAAUAGAAAUUCCUUCUGCACCGACCAAUCAGAUAUCUUAAGGCUAGUAAGCUAGUCAUAUACGCCGCCUUACAUGUGCAGUUUCAUUUCUAUUAACCAGUAGGCCACCUUCAUUAAACCCUGUUAAUAAACAUUUUUGGAAAACAUCAGGAUUGGUAAGAAAUGAAAAUACUCGGUCUAACAACAUAGAAAUGAUUCUUAUAUUCUAUUAUAUUUAAUUUAGUUGCGUCACUUAGCCUUUUAUAUGUGUAAUGUACUUUAGAAUAUUUAAUGGAUUCGAGUGUCGUCUAUUUUGAUCUCGUUUGGAACUGUUAUUAUAUUUCAGUCCGUACCAUGGUAUGGAUGAAAUAUAUUGUGUUCUCUGAUGUUUCUUCUCCUUCUCC